CUAUUUUCGUGAUUCAACUAAAAUAUAGAGAUCAAAACUACAAUUAAGCAUAAUUUAAAACAUUAGAUAAGAGAAGCUCCUAAUAUAUUAAAGUUAAAGGAUCACUACACUCUUGUAGGGAGAUGGUACGUUGACCGUGGAUUACGGAUAACACCAUCAACGACACUUCUCUUAAGUAAAUAUUAAUGGUUCUUUUAAUCUUUAUGAUUGAGACAAUUAUUUGAUCAGUUUAAUUUUGAUAAAAAUAAGGGAAAAUGAAUGUGUCCCGUAAAACUCAAUCGGUUGAACAAAUAGAAAUCAAGUUGUCUUCUCAGCCGUAAAGACAAAGAGACCCGUUAAAUUGUACUUUCAAGGGGAGUAAUCGAUCGCCAUUAAAAUUUCAUAUGAUUUUUAAACAUAGAUCAUUAGUAAACAAUUUAUAAAAGUGGUCCAUGUCGAAUUUACCCACUCUUGUUAUCUUCCAUGUUACAUGAGUAUUCCCUAAACAUAAUAACUAGCUGUGCGUAUACAAAACACUAGGGUCUUCUAAUGAAGACAUAAUUUCUUAACCUCACGCAUCUAACUAACAUGAUAGAGUUUAUGCAGCGGGAGCAUAGUCAUAACCACCAUCAUCGUCAUCGUCACCUUCCCUAUAUGCAUCUAGAGCACAGCAAAAACCUUCAAUGCAUGCUGUAGAUGCAUAACCAUACAAAUCAUGAUGGUCACCUUCACCGCAUGCAUGAUUCUUGGACCUUGAAGCAAUUACAAUAGAAAUGAAUGUCAUAUUGUCUUAAAGAUCUAAGUAAAUGGAAUUAGCGAAGAGAUGUUAAAGCUAGUUGUGUGCGUUGUGUUUGAGUUGAGAUAAAACUUAAGAGAGUUGGGGUUUAUAAAAGAAGAAGAAAAGGCAUUGGAG
This 892-nucleotide long non-coding RNA is filed under the name Cicer arietinum (chickpea). RNAcentral describes it as "long non-coding RNA (CARI_LNC000228)". The record is from RNAcentral. Lineage: Eukaryota; Viridiplantae; Streptophyta; Magnoliopsida; Fabales; Fabaceae.